Molecule: long non-coding RNA, 271 nt
Filed under: Daucus carota (carrot)
Lineage: Eukaryota; Viridiplantae; Streptophyta; Magnoliopsida; Apiales; Apiaceae
Description: long non-coding RNA (DCAR_LNC007641)
Source: RNAcentral
UUUUUCGAGGAUUUAGCUGAAAAGACUAUGUUGUGGGAGUCAACUAGGGAACCUAAAAAGUCGAUCGAGUCGUCUAGCUCUAGCUCUAGCUCUAGGGGUUUGCACUCGAUAGGAAACAAUGUGGCAACCGAUGCCAAAUUAGCAACCCUUACUAAGAGACUCGAAGCUUUGGAGUCUCAUAGUGGCCCUUCACUUUUGCCUAUGUUCCCGAACUAUAAUGCUUCCCAUCCCGAGAUCCAACAAUCUCACGAUUUUGAGCAAGUGAACGCGA